This 90-nucleotide transfer RNA is filed under the name Pedosphaera parvula Ellin514. RNAcentral describes it as "tRNA-Ser". It matches the Rfam family "tRNA". From Rfam's summary of the family: Transfer RNA (tRNA) molecules are approximately 80 nucleotides in length. The record is from RNAcentral. Lineage: Bacteria; Pseudomonadati; Verrucomicrobiota; Pedosphaerae; Pedosphaerales; Pedosphaeraceae. RNAcentral also lists the same sequence under 4 other names.
GGAAGGGUGGCUGAGUGGUUAAAGGCACCUGACUCGAAAUCAGGAGUAGGGGCAACCCUACCGUGGGUUCGAAUCCCACCCCUUCCGCCA